This 306-nucleotide ribosomal RNA is filed under the name uncultured Sphingobacteriales bacterium. RNAcentral describes it as "bacterial SSU rRNA". It matches the Rfam family "Bacterial small subunit ribosomal RNA", at positions 1077 to 1382 of the family's 1533-position model. The record is from RNAcentral. Lineage: Bacteria; Pseudomonadati; Bacteroidota; Sphingobacteriia; Sphingobacteriales.
GGGUUAAGUCCCAUAACCGAGCGCAACCCUACCUUUAGUUGCCAGUCAGGUUAAGCGUGGGACUCUAAGGAACUGCCUACGCAAGUAGUGAGGAAGGCGGGGAUGACGUCAAAUCAGCACGGCCCUUACGUCCAGGGCUACACACGUGCUACAAUGGCCGAUACAGAGGGCAGCUACCUGGUGACAGGAUGCAAAUCUCCAAAGUCGGUCUCAGUUCGGAUCGGAGUCUGCAACCCGACUCCGUGAAGUUGGAUUCGCUAGUAAUCGCGCAUCAGCCAUGGCGCGGUGAAUACGUUCCCGGGCCUU